UACGUAGGUGGCAAGCGUUGUCCGGAAUUAUUGGGCGUAAAGCGCGCGCAGGCGGUUCUUUAAGUCUGAUGUGAAAGCCCACGGCUCAACCGUGGAGGGUCAUUGGAAACUGGGGGACUUGAGUACAGAAGAGGAAAGCGGAAUUCCACGUGUAGCGGUGAAAUGCGUAGAGAUGUGGAGGAACACCAGUGGCGAAGGCGGCUUUCUGGUCUGUAACUGACGCUGAGGCGCGAAAGCGUGGGGAGCAAACAGG
Molecule: ribosomal RNA, 253 nt
Filed under: uncultured bacterium
Lineage: Bacteria
Description: partial 16S ribosomal RNA
Rfam family: Bacterial small subunit ribosomal RNA
Source: RNAcentral